This 21-nucleotide non-coding RNA is filed under the name Arabidopsis thaliana (thale cress). Lineage: Eukaryota; Viridiplantae; Streptophyta; Magnoliopsida; Brassicales; Brassicaceae. The record is from RNAcentral.
UAACGUGUUGGUACUGUGUAA